This is a long non-coding RNA of Dendrobium catenatum, 1093 nucleotides long. RefSeq lists it as uncharacterized. The record is from RefSeq and is a predicted model, not a curated record. NCBI's taxonomy places the organism in Eukaryota, Viridiplantae, Streptophyta, Magnoliopsida, Asparagales, Orchidaceae. The transcript is spliced from 2 exons.
UGGUGAGCAGAUUGCGGGAUAGAGGGCUUGGGUUGGAAGGCUUGAAACAGGAUGCUCGGCUAGGGCAAGUUGGUGGAGAUUAGGUUGAGGCCAGUAGUGAGGUCUUGGCUUAAUACUGGAGGAAGAAGGAGGUUGGUUGGGUUGCUUGCUGCUUCGGGCGUGGCUAUAAGUGGAGGUCGAGGCAACAUCGGUUUGUAGAGUUUAGGAACAGCUAUGAGAAGUGGAAGAAGAGGAAUGGGUCUCGUGGAUUUUGGCAUGGGUAGAUCGGACGGGACAGGGAAGUUCAUUUGGUUGGGAAGGAAUGUAGUUUGGAUGUUGGCUGGCUUCGGUAGAGUUAGGAGCGACUGUCUUUGGGAGCAUGGGAGAAGCGAAGAGGCAAACAAAUGAAGCUUUGGUUUGGCUCUUGUUUUAAAGUUGCGAAUGAGAGUGCAGUUAAGGCAAGAUUUCAGGAAAUGACACGAUUGACGUCGAAGGAGCAAUAACUGAGCAGAAUUUCAGGUGGGAUUCAUGGAGAUUUUCGACGGGAUAGGAGUUCCAGUUGUCUCAGGAAAAUGAGUGCCACAAUGCCAUGCCUUUCUAUGCCUCAGCAUCGGAUUCCUAAUUUGAGCACCACAGUGCUCAAAAUUAUGGAGCACCAUGGAGGAGCAAUUACCAACAUAUGGAGCUGUGCUGAUUUAGUCAAAAAAAUGUACCGAUUCAGUAAAAAAGAUACACAAUUUUUAUUAGUGACUGUGCCAUUAGCUAACAUCAAAGUGGAGAAGACUUUACAAUGUUAAGGUGUUAGUUUUUUUUUAUAAUCAUGAUGCCACCAUAUCGAGCGCUGCAUUUCUUAAACUAGACCUUGUACUAAUUAGAAAUAGUUUUUUAGUUCUGUUAUUUUGGGUGUUUUAUCACUUGAGUGAAUUCUUAUAAUUUUUAGUGUGUUUCUUUAGUUCCCCUUAGAGUAAAGUGUAAGGGAGGCUAGAGAAGUGUAAGAUACUUUCCUAUUGGAGAUCUUAGCCUAUUCAUGUAAGUAACUCUAUGAUUGAUAAAAGGAGGGUGGAGAAAAUCGUUUGAUCCUUCUGGGUGACAAUUUUCUUUUUUACUUCUCUUA